AAGGCCUUAGCUUAAUCAAAGCUCCUGCUUUGCAUGCAGAGGAUGUGGGAUAAUUCCCCGCAGGCCUUA
Molecule: transfer RNA, 69 nt
Filed under: Laeops kitaharae
Lineage: Eukaryota; Metazoa; Chordata; Actinopteri; Pleuronectiformes; Bothidae
Also listed under: 1 other name
Description: tRNA-Ala
Rfam family: tRNA
About the family: Transfer RNA (tRNA) molecules are approximately 80 nucleotides in length. Their secondary structure includes four short double-helical elements and three loops (D, anti-codon, and T loops). Further hydrogen bonds mediate the characteristic L-shaped molecular structure. tRNAs have two regions of fundamental functional importance: the anti-codon, which is responsible for specific mRNA codon recognition, and the 3' end, to which the tRNAs corresponding amino acid is attached (by aminoacyl-tRNA synthetases). tRNAs cope with the degeneracy of the genetic code in two manners: having more than one tRNA (with a specific anti-codon) for a particular amino acid; and 'wobble' base-pairing, i.e. permitting non-standard base-pairing at the 3rd anti-codon position.
Source: RNAcentral